RNAcentral lists this ribosomal RNA (269 nucleotides) under uncultured prokaryote. Its description in RNAcentral is "partial 16S ribosomal RNA". It matches the Rfam family "Bacterial small subunit ribosomal RNA", at positions 524 to 792 of the family's 1533-position model. The record is from RNAcentral.
GACGGAGGUGGCGAGCGUUGUUCGGAAUCACUGGGCAUAAAGGGCACGUAGGUGGCCCAGCAGGUCAAGGGUGAAAUCCCCCGGCUUAACCGGGGAACUGCCUUUGAAACCACUGAGCUUGAGCGGAAGAGGGGAGAGUGGAACUCGUAGUGGAGCGGUGAAAUGCGUAGAUAUUACGAGGAACGCCGGUGGCGAAAGCGACUCUCUGGCUUCUUGCUGACACUGAGGUGCGAAAGCCAGGGGAGCGAACGGGAUUAGAUACCCCCGUA